CAGCAGCCGCGGUAAUACGGAGGGAGCUAGCGUUGUUCGGAAUCACUGGGCGUAAAGCGCACGUAGGCGGCUAUUCAAGUCAGGGGUGAAAGCCCGGGGCUCAACCCCGGAACUGCCUUUGAAACUAGAUAGCUUGAAUCUUGGAGAGGCGAGUGGAAUUCCGAGUGUAGAGGUGAAAUUCGUAGAUAUUCGGAAGAACACCAGUGGCGAAGGCGACUCGCUGGACAAGUAUUGACGCUGAGGUGCGAAAGCGUGGGGAGCAAACAGGAUUAGAUACCCCAGUAGUCCCUGUCUCUUAUAC
RNAcentral lists this ribosomal RNA (301 nucleotides) under uncultured bacterium. Its description in RNAcentral is "partial 16S ribosomal RNA". It matches the Rfam family "Bacterial small subunit ribosomal RNA", at positions 509 to 807 of the family's 1533-position model. The record is from RNAcentral.